CCUACGGGAGGCAGCAGUGAGGAAUAUUGGUCAAUGGACGAGAGUCUGAACCAGCCAAGUAGCGUGAAGGAUGACUGCCCUAUGGGUUGUAAACUUCUUUUAUAUGGGAAUAAAAUGUUCCACGUGUGGGAUUUUGUAUGUACCAUAUGAAUAAGGAUCGGCUAACUCCGUGCCAGCAGCCGCGGUAAUACGGAGGAUCCGAGCGUUAUCCGGAUUUAUUGGGUUUAAAGGGAGCGUAGGUGGAUUGUUAAGUCAGUUGUGAAAGUUUGCGGCUCAACCGUAGAAGUGCAGUUGAAACUGGCAGUCUGGAGUACAGUAGAGGUGGGCGGAAUUCGUGGUGUAGCGGUGAAAUGCUUAGAUAUCACGAAGAACUCCGAUUGCGAAGGCAGCUCACUGGACUGCAACUGACACUGAGGCUCGAAAGUGUGGGUAUCAAACAGGAUUAGAUACCCUUGUAGUC
Molecule: ribosomal RNA, 460 nt
Filed under: uncultured bacterium
Lineage: Bacteria
Description: partial 16S ribosomal RNA
Rfam family: Bacterial small subunit ribosomal RNA
Source: RNAcentral